GUGCCCUAUCUGAGCAUCCUCAGAAAAUGCUCCUGGCCUCCCCAGGCUAUGAAGGCAGGGAAGGGCCUAGAGGGCAAGAUGUAUGCAGGCCGGCUGAUUUCCCUUGGUUUGCUCAGCGCAGAGCAGAGGAGCUGAGGGGAGGCCUGAUGGCGGCUGCAGCUCCUCACAGGGAGCGGAGGGCAGCGCUGAGCUCUGCUCUGUGUGACAACGACAGGUAGGUGGGAUUUUAAAACUACCCGUUUGUUGCAUGCAGGUAACAACUGUUAUUUCUUACCUGACAGGACCGAAAUUCAAAAGUAUUCUUUCUUCUGGGGAAAAAAAAAAAAAAGGUAACUUUCUGUGCUUCGUGUUUGAUAACUGUCAGUGCCUCUACUUCCUGAUUUAGUUUAGCAAAGUCAUCAACAGCUGUCUGAGAAACGUAGAAGGCUGGGCUUGCACUUAGGCAGCAUUUGAAGGCAGGGACUGGAGUGCCUGAGGAACAAUGUGAGGGAGCACUUGAGUGAGAAAGAUGUGUGUGCAGAAUCACAGCAGAAAGGUAACAGAUGCUUUUAAAGUGAUUUGUGUGCAGUGAUCGCUUCAGCUGUAUGCUGUUAGGUCUUGACCUAGCAAAGGAGUGAGUGUCUGGAGCCAGAUGACACAAUAAAAUCCUAAUAAAAUCUCUUUAUAGUACUGAAAAGUUUGGCUUUUUGACUUGUAAAAUGUGUGUUGUAAGACUUUUUAUUGAUACUCAGCACCCUUUGCUACCAGAAUGGAAAGGGGAGAGAGAAGUGCUGUUAAAGAGAGCUUGAACUGCAAACACCUCUUGCAUGUGAGCUUGGCUGUUGUUUCAGUGGCACAACAGAAACACAGUCCAUCACAUGAGUGCACAGAGACGCUCAUGGCUCAGGAUACCCCAACAGUCCCACAGCAACAGACUCAUGCGGGGGCCACGGUCCCGUAACCAGAAGAUCCUGAAGCUGCAAAUGUGCAUGGCCCGGCCACAACCCCAACCACUGCACGGCCCAUGGAGGAGCACAUCUGUGUCUCGCUGCCUCUGCUACCACCAGGAGGUACACAUCUGUACAAAUGCAGAUUGAUUUUGCUGUAAUGUCUUCUAGCUAUUGUAAACAUCCUGGAGAAGUGACCGUGUUCUAUCUGUGGGGCCUUUUCAAUGGCAGACUUGAAAAUGUCAGGAAAGCAUGGGUAUUAUCUGUCUGAAACUUCUGAUGGGAUUUCAUGUCCUUUUGGUAUCGCUUACAGAAACACUGAGCUGUGCCUUAAGAUGCUUAGAGAAAAGAAGGUUCUAGGGAGACCUCACUGCGGUCUUCCAGUACUUGAAGGGAGCCUGUAAGU
Molecule: long non-coding RNA, 1332 nt
Filed under: Phasianus colchicus (ring-necked pheasant)
Lineage: Eukaryota; Metazoa; Chordata; Aves; Galliformes; Phasianidae
Description: lncRNA (ENSPCLG00000000904.1)
Source: RNAcentral